RNAcentral lists this ribosomal RNA (392 nucleotides) under uncultured bacterium. RNAcentral's name for it is "bacterial SSU rRNA". It matches the Rfam family "Bacterial small subunit ribosomal RNA", at positions 29 to 407 of the family's 1533-position model. The record is from RNAcentral.
AACGAACGCUGGCGGCGCGCUUAACACAUGCAAGUCGAACGAGAAGCUGUAGCAAUACAGUUGUAAAGUGGCAAACGGGUGAGUAAUGCGUGGGUAAUCUACCCUCGGGUGGGGAAUAACUCUUCGAAAGGAGAGCUAAUGCCGACAUGUGCAUCACUUUCGCAAGAAGGUGCUGGAAAGCCGUAUCGUGGAUACGGCGCCCAAGGUUGAGCUCACGUCCUAUCAGCUUGUUGGCGGGGUAACGGCCCACCAAGGCUCCGACGGGUAGCUGGUCUGAGAGGACGACCAGCCACACUGGGCACUGCGACACGGGCCAGACUCCUACGGGAGGCAGCAGUGAGGGAAUAUUGCGCAAUGGGACGAAAGUCUGACGCAGCGACGCCGCGUGGGGA